CGGUAAGGCCCCUUCGGGGGUACACGAGUGGCGAACGGGUGAGUAACACGUGGGUGAUCUGCCCUGCACUCUGGGAUAAGCCUGGGAAACUGGGUCUAAUACCAGAUAUGAACUCCUGUCGCAUGGCGGGGGUUGGAAAGGUUUACUGGUGCAGGAUGGGCCCGCGGCCUAUCAGCUUGUUGGUGGGGUAAUGGCCUACCAAGGCGACGACGGGUAGCCGGCCUGAGAGGGCGACCGGCCACACUGGGACUGAGACACGGCCCAGACUCCUACGGGAGGCAGCAGUGGGGAAUAUUGCACAAUGGGCGAAAGCCUGAUGCAGCGACGCCGCGUGAGGGAUGACGGCCUUCGGGUUGUAAACCUCUUUCAGCAGGGACGAAGCGAGAGUGACGGUACCUGCAGAAGAAGCACCGGCCAACUACGUGCCAGCAGCCGCGGUAAU
This 442-nucleotide ribosomal RNA is filed under the name uncultured bacterium. Its description in RNAcentral is "bacterial SSU rRNA". It matches the Rfam family "Bacterial small subunit ribosomal RNA", at positions 67 to 524 of the family's 1533-position model. The record is from RNAcentral.